GUAAGGAAUAUUGCACAAUGGGCGCAAGCCUGAUGCAGCAACGCCGCGUGCGCGACGAAGGCCUUCGGGUCGUAAAGCGCUUUUGGGGCAGAAGAGGAAGGACAGUAGGCCCCGAAUAAGUGUCGGCUAACUACGUGCCAGCAGCCGCGGUAAAACGUAGGACACGAGCGUUAUCCGGAGUUACUGGGCGUAAAGCGCAGGCAGGCGGCUGGGGAAGUCUGACGUGAAAGCUCCUGGCUCAACCGGGAGAGGGCGUUGGAAACUCUCUGGCUCGAGGGUGGUAGAGGUGCGUGGAAUUCCGGGUGGAGUGGUGAAAUACGUAGAGAUCCGGAGGAACACCAGAGGCGAAGGCGGCGCACUGGGCCACCCCUGACGCUGAACUGCGAAGGCAUGGGGAGCGAACGGGAUUAGAAACCCCAGUAGUCC
Molecule: ribosomal RNA, 426 nt
Filed under: uncultured bacterium
Lineage: Bacteria
Description: bacterial SSU rRNA
Rfam family: Bacterial small subunit ribosomal RNA
Source: RNAcentral